GAAACUCUGACCCAGCGACGCCGCGUGCGGGAUGAAGGCCUUCGGGUUGUAAACCGCUUUCAGUAGGGAAGAAGCGAAAGUGACGGUACCUACAAAAGAAGCACCGGCUAACUAUGUGCCAGCAGCCGCGGUAAUACAUAGGGUGCAAGCGUUGUCCGGAAUUAUUGGGCGUAAAGAGCUCGUAGGUCGUUUGUUACGUCGGAUGUGAAAACCUGAGGCUCAACCUCAGGCCUGCAUUCGAUACGGGCAAACUAGAGUUUGGUAGGGGAGACUGGAAUUCCUGGUGUAGCGGUGGAAUGCGCAGAUAUCAGGAGGAACACCAAUGGCGAAGGCAGGUCUCUGGGCCAAUACUGACACUCGAGGAGCGAAAGUCUGGGGAGCGAACAGGAUUAGAUACCCUGGUAGUCCAGACCGUAAACGGUGGGCACUAGUUGUGGGAACCUUCCACGGUUUCUGCGACGCAGCUAACGCAUUAAGUGCCCCGCCUGGGGAGCUAC
This 497-nucleotide ribosomal RNA is filed under the name uncultured bacterium. RNAcentral's name for it is "bacterial SSU rRNA". It matches the Rfam family "Bacterial small subunit ribosomal RNA", at positions 377 to 883 of the family's 1533-position model. The record is from RNAcentral.